AUUCCGGUUGAUCCUGCCGGAGGUCAUUGCUAUCGGAGUCCGAUUUAGCCAUGCUAGUCGUGCGAGUUCAGACUCGCGGCAAAUAGCUCAGUAACACGUGGUCAAGCUACCCUGCAGAGAAGGAUAUCCUCGGGAAACUGAGGCCAAUACUUC
RNAcentral lists this ribosomal RNA (153 nucleotides) under Halopelagius longus. RNAcentral's name for it is "partial 16S rRNA. Archaeal SSU". It matches the Rfam family "Archaeal small subunit ribosomal RNA", at positions 1 to 155 of the family's 1478-position model. The record is from RNAcentral. Lineage: Archaea; Methanobacteriati; Methanobacteriota; Halobacteria; Halobacteriales; Haloferacaceae.